This 253-nucleotide ribosomal RNA is filed under the name uncultured bacterium. RNAcentral describes it as "partial 16S ribosomal RNA". It matches the Rfam family "Bacterial small subunit ribosomal RNA", at positions 524 to 776 of the family's 1533-position model. The record is from RNAcentral.
UACGGAGGGGGCUAGCGUUGCUCGGAAUGACUGGGCGUAAAGGGCGCGUAGGCGGACGGGUUAGUCAGGGGUGAAAGUCCUGGGCUUAACCUGGGGACUGCGCUUGAUACGGGUUUUCUUGAGUGGGGAAGAGGAUAGUGGAAUUCCCAGUGUAGAGGUGAAAUUCGUAGAUAUUGGGAAGAACACCGGUGGCGAAGGCGGCUACCUGGUCCUUGACUGACGCUGAGGCGCGAAAGCGAGGGGAGCAAACAGG